UACAGAGGGUGCGAGCGUUAAUCGGAAUUACUGGGCGUAAAGCGUGCGUAGACGGUGGCGUAAGUCGGGUGUGAAAGCCCCGGGCUCAACCUGGGAAUUGCAUUUGAGACUGCUCUGCUCGGGUGCGGAAGAGGGAAGCGGAAUUUCCGGUGUAGCGGUGAAAUGCAUAGAUAUCGGAAGGAACACCAGUGGCGAAAGCGGCUUCCUGGUCCGACACCGACGUUCAGGCACGAAAGCGUGGGGAGCAAACAGG
RNAcentral lists this ribosomal RNA (253 nucleotides) under uncultured bacterium. RNAcentral describes it as "partial 16S ribosomal RNA". It matches the Rfam family "Bacterial small subunit ribosomal RNA", at positions 524 to 776 of the family's 1533-position model. The record is from RNAcentral.